Molecule: ribosomal RNA, 497 nt
Filed under: uncultured bacterium
Lineage: Bacteria
Description: partial 16S ribosomal RNA
Rfam family: Bacterial small subunit ribosomal RNA
Source: RNAcentral
GAUGGACGCUGGCGGCGUGCCUAAUACAUGCAAGUCGAGCGAACAGACGAGGAGCUUGCUCCUCUGACGUUAGCGGCGGACGGGUGAGUAACACGUGGAUAACCUACCUAUAAGACUGGGAUAACUUCGGGAAACCGGAGCUAAUACCGGAUAAUAUAUUGAACCGCAUGGUUCAAUAGUGAAAGACGGUUUUGCUGUCACUUAUAGAUGGAUCCGCGCCGCAUUAGCUAGUUGGUAAGGUAACGGCUUACCAAGGCAACGAUGCGUAGCCGACCUGAGAGGGUGAUCGGCCACACUGGAACUGAGACACGGUCCAGACUCCUACGGGAGGCAGCAGUAGGGAAUCUUCCGCAAUGGGCGAAGGCUUGACGGAGCAACGCCGCGUGAGUGAUGAAGGUCUUCGGAUCGUAAAACUCUGUUAUUAGGGAAGAACAAAUGUGUAAGUAACUAUGCACGUCUUGACGGUACCUAAUCAGAAAGCCACGGCUAACUACGUG